RNAcentral lists this long non-coding RNA (771 nucleotides) under Homo sapiens (human). RNAcentral describes it as "HSALNT0308019". The record is from RNAcentral. Lineage: Eukaryota; Metazoa; Chordata; Mammalia; Primates; Hominidae.
AAAGAAAAUAAGAAGUGAAAUAACAUGAAUUGAUGAGAAAAAAGCAAUUUUAAACAUAACUUGACAAUGCUUAGAGGGAAGAAAAAAGAUAAGAUAAAGAAAAAUAUUCUACCAGACACAUGGGAAUCAGUGACAAGGCCUGACAUAUACAUUACGGGAGCACCAGAAGACGCAGUAGAAUGAAUGUGUCAAUGGCAACAGUUGAAGAUAUACUGAAAAAUUGAUGGACAAAAUGCCAAAGAUUCAUCACGUUCUUUGAACUCCAAGCAGAAUAAAUAGAUAAGUAGAAAGGAAAUCACAUUUAGACAAAUGCAUAGCAAAACUCCAAAGGAGCAAGGAAAAAGUCUACAUUUUAAAAAUCAGCUUGGAGUUGAAAACAAGGCUACAGUCCGCAAGUCAUGAUACCACGAUAAACAUUUUAAAAGAGGAAAAUUUAAGAAAAUCCCAGUGUAUUCACCUAUGAAGUGUAAAGUCAUGAACAACAUGAGAACAAUGCAACUAUGGCACACAUUUAGACGCUGUUACGAGUAACAACAAAAAAAAUUUUGCAGCGUUUGAAAUUAUAUUCAGCGUAACUUUUUGUACUUAUAUACACUACUACUGUAUAAAUUUAAAAAAUUAAUGUCAUUAAUUUCCUCUAAAAAGUGAUUAUUUUUAAUUGGGCUAGUUUGCCUGCCAGGAAAACUUUCAUGUACAUUUUGUUGAUUCAAAUCAAUAAAAAUCCAGGAAUAAUGUGAGCUAAUUAUGCUUUAAAAUGUGAAUAUAAUAUUU